UGGGGAAUUUUGGACAAUGGGCGCAAGCCUGAUCCAGCCAUGCCGCGUGAAGGAUGAAGUAUUUCGGUAUGUAAACUUCGAAAGAAUAGGAAGAAUAAAUGACGGUACUAUUUAUAAGGUCCGGCUAACUACGUGCCAGCAGCCGCGGUAAUACGUAGGGACCAAGCGUUGUUCGGAUUUACUGGGCGUAAAGGGCGCGUAGGCGGCAAUUCAAGUCAUCUGUGAAAUCUCCGGGCUUAACUCGGAACGGUCAGAUGAUACUGCUUUGCUAGAGUGCAGAAGGGGCAAUCGGAAUUCUUGGUGUAGCGGUGAAAUGCGUAGAUAUCAAGAGGAACACCUGAGGUGAAGACGGGUUGCUGGGCUGACACUGACGCUGAGGCGCGAAAGCCAGGGGAGCAAACGGGAUUAGAUACCCCCGUAGUCCCUGAGCGGGCUGGCAAGGCGCAU
This 447-nucleotide ribosomal RNA is filed under the name uncultured bacterium. RNAcentral's name for it is "bacterial SSU rRNA". It matches the Rfam family "Bacterial small subunit ribosomal RNA", at positions 355 to 825 of the family's 1533-position model. The record is from RNAcentral.